AUACGUAGGGGGCGAGCGUUGUCCGGAAUGAUUGGGCGUAAAGGGCGCGUAGGCGGCGCGGUAAGUCUGGAGUGAAAGUCCUGCUUUCAAGGUGGGAAUUGCUUUGGAUACUGCCGCGCUUGAGUGCAGGAGAGGUUAUCGGAAUUCCCGGUGUAGCGGUGAAAUGCGUAGAGAUCGGGAGGAACACCAGUGGCGAAGGCGGGUAACUGGACUGCAACUGGCGCUGAGGCGCGAAAGUGUGGGGAGCAAACAGGAUUAGAUACCCUGGUAGUCCACACUGUAAACGAUGAAUGCUAGGUGUAAGAGGUAUCGACCCCUUUUGUGCCGGAGUCAACACAAUAAGCAUUCCGCCUGGGGAGUACGGCCGCAAGGUUGAAACUUAAAGGAAUUGACGGGG
This 397-nucleotide ribosomal RNA is filed under the name uncultured bacterium. Its description in RNAcentral is "partial 16S ribosomal RNA". It matches the Rfam family "Bacterial small subunit ribosomal RNA", at positions 523 to 918 of the family's 1533-position model. The record is from RNAcentral.